GAGUUUGAUUCUGGCUCAGGAUGAACGCUGGCGGCGUGCCUAACACAUGCAAGUCGAGCGCGGUUGUGCUUAGUAUUGAGUGUUUUAUUGAUAUAAAACAUUGAAUUCUAUGCACAACUGAGCGGCGGACGGGUGAGUAACGCGUGGGUAACCUGCCCUAUACACAUGGAUAACAUACUGAAAAGUUUACUAAUACAUGAUAAAAUAGUUUUUCGGCAUCGAAGAAUUAUCAAAGUGUUAGCGGUAUAGGAUGGACCCGCGUCUGAUUAGCUAGUUGGUGAGAUAACUGCCCACCAAGGCGACGAUCAGUAGCCGACCUGAGAGGGUGAUCGGCCACAUUGGAACUGAGACACGGUCCAAACUCCUACGGGAGGCAGCAGUGGGGAAUAUUGCACAAUGGGCGCAAGCCUGAUGCAGCAACGCCGCGUGAACGAUGAAGGUCUCCGGAUCGUAAAGUUCUGUUGCAGGGGAAGAUAAUGACGNNCCCCU
This 489-nucleotide ribosomal RNA is filed under the name Peptostreptococcus sp. canine oral taxon 033. RNAcentral describes it as "bacterial SSU rRNA". It matches the Rfam family "Bacterial small subunit ribosomal RNA", at positions 9 to 481 of the family's 1533-position model. The record is from RNAcentral. Lineage: Bacteria; Bacillati; Bacillota; Clostridia; Peptostreptococcales; Peptostreptococcaceae.